Molecule: long non-coding RNA, 440 nt
Organism: Fopius arisanus
Lineage: Eukaryota; Metazoa; Arthropoda; Insecta; Hymenoptera; Braconidae
Exons: 3
Source: RefSeq, a predicted model, not a curated record
CUUGAAGCAGUUUUCUCGGCUAGUUACAAGUCAGAAAUACUUCAAAGUACGCAAUCGAUUAAUUUGACGUCACAAACGAUUUUAGAAAAUUUCUUUCACGAACGAUACAACAAGUAGUAAUUUUUUAGUUAUGAAAUUCCUGAAUUCUACAUUAUUUUUAUUUGUAAUCGGUAUGGGUCAAUUGGUGAUUAGUGAAACUAAUAUUGAUGAAAUAAUGGAAAAACUCAAUCUUACCGAAAAAGCUUUGCCCAUUCCUAAUUGUCCUGAAUUCUGUGGCGACUAUUGCAAUUACUUGGCGGAUCUGAAAGGCCGAUGCACUGGUAAUGAGUGUAAAUGUAGCUAAGUGGAAUCUCAUGUAACAUUAAUUGUCAUUUCAUCAAUAUUGAUGGAUAGAAAAGUCGGAGGAUGGAAUAAAAAUCAUGUGAUUCGUUGCAAUAUUC